ACUCCUACGGGAGGCAGCAGUAGGGAAUCUUCCACAAUGGACGAAAGUCUGAUGGAGCAACGCCGCGUGAACGAUGAAGGCUUUCGGGUCGUAAAGUUCUGUUGUAAGGGCCCAACAAGUGCCGAAAGCAAUGGCGGCACCUUGACGGUACCUUGCGAGAAAGCCACGGCUAA
This 173-nucleotide ribosomal RNA is filed under the name uncultured bacterium. Its description in RNAcentral is "partial 16S ribosomal RNA". It matches the Rfam family "Bacterial small subunit ribosomal RNA", at positions 335 to 500 of the family's 1533-position model. The record is from RNAcentral.